Molecule: long non-coding RNA, 1608 nt
Organism: Balaenoptera musculus (blue whale)
Lineage: Eukaryota; Metazoa; Chordata; Mammalia; Artiodactyla; Balaenopteridae
Exons: 17
Source: RefSeq, a predicted model, not a curated record
AGUGGACACAUUUCGAGCUGGUCAAGCUAUCAGUAUUCCAUGGUGAGGCACCUUAUAAUUGCAGGAACCCACAGUGGAUGCACUGGACCAGAAAUGAAGAUUCUUCCUUGAGUACCAGCCUAGGAUGGCAUCUUGGUCGUAGGAGCCAGGAGACCCUUGUUGCUAUGGGGCAGAGACCCAGAUUUCACAUAUCCGCUGUAUUAGGGAUUGCCUAAAUAACAAUGGGAAUGUGGAAGCCGAGAUGAGUGAAUAGAAGCUCAAGGAGAUUUCAGCCUCCAUUGUGAUCAAGGUUCUCCUUUUCAGGUUGCUAUGGGACAGACACCCAGUGGACACAUUCGAGCUGAGCAAGCUAUAAGUAUUUCACGGUGAUGGUGCCUUAUCAUUGCCAGAACCCAUGUUGGACGCACUGGACUUCAGGAGGAUUAUUCUUUGAGCGCCAGCGUAGGAUGGCAUCUUGGUCAUAGGAGCCAGGAGACCCAUAAUAGAAGCUCAAGGUGAUUUUGGCCUCCAUUGUGAUCAAGGUUCUCCUUCUCAGGUUGCUAUGGGACAGAGACCCAGAAUGAAUGCACUAGAGAUGGUUUAGAAUCAUCCAUGGUCACCAGAUCUGUGGUUGCCUCUGUAUAAUAGGAGGAUGGAGAUUAAUGACAGAUGUUCCCACUACUUCAGCUUCUGCUGUGCUCAGUUGUCCUGCUGCUUCUGUGUCAGAAAAUAACUAAGAAUGAAUGCAUCAUUUAGCAUCUUCCAUGGGCAUGAGCUCUGUGGUUGCUUCUGUAUAAUAGGAGGAUGAAGAUUAAUAGUGGACACACUGGACCUGAAAGAAAGAUUCUUCCUUGAGCACCAGCCUAGGAUGGCAUCUUUGUUUUAGGAGCCAAGAGAACAGUAAUAGCAGCUCAAGGUGAUUUCAGCCUCCAUUGUGAUCAAGGCUCUCCUUUUCUGGUUGCUAUGGGACAGAGACCCAGAAUGGAUGCCCUUGAGCUGAUCUAAGCAUCUUGCAUGGUCAGGAGCCCUGUGGUUGCAUCUGUGUGUUAGGAGGAAGGGGAACAAUAUGUAGAUGAUAUUGGAGAAAAGAGCCCCUCCUGGACCACUGAUGAUGACUGGAGGCAUAGGAGUCAUAUAUGAAUGGGAGCGCUUCAGCUGGUUGAAGGAUUCUUCUAUGGUCCUGAGAGCUCUGGUUGCAUUCACGUGUUAGGACUGUGGAGACCAUAAGCGACACAGUGGACCUGAUUUAAGGACCUUUCCUUGAUCGACAGCCUUAGGAUAGGAUCUGUGUUUUAGGAUCCCAGAGAUCUAUGUGAGUAAUAAGCAAAUUCUUUCCUUGGUUUGGAUGUUUUGUUAAGGGUCUUCAUUGUAUUAACCAAAAGAAUUAAAAAUAUUCCAGAAAGUCCAAUGUGUCCUUGUAACAAAUAUGUGAUUAAUAGAAUCACAAUGAUUAAAGCAUUUAUGAAAAGUUGUAUAAUUAAUAACAAAGAUACAUUGAUUUGAGAAUGACUCAAGAUACAUAUCAGGAAUAACAAGGACUUCUUGGUGUUUCGUGAAUCAUAUAGUUUUAAAGUUGUAAUUAGUGAAUUAAUGAAUUAACCAAUAAAUGAUAUAGAAUGAAUGAAGAGA